UAUAGAGAGGCUUUAAACGCGCUAAUUAAAUUUGGUAUCCCGGUUCAUCAAGAAGGCUUAAAUCAGCUUAAGCUAGAAAGCCAAUUAAUUGAUAAAAUGUCCCAGCUGGUUGAUACAGUUCCUGAAAAUGAGUUGGUAGAAGUAAAAGCCAUGCCAUUAAAAGAAGCUGUAAAGCAGCUUUUGCAGACACUUAACGCAAAUCCUGGAGUUAACACACAUCCUGGACAUAAUGUAAAUCAAAAUCCUGCUCCAACGCUUAAUAUAACUCAGAUGUCACAGAACAUUCAAAUCACUCAAGAUCCAGAAACACAUCUUGAAGGGAAGGUCGAGAAAGAAAUAACACCAUCGAGCCAGACUGUUGUGGAAUCAGAAAUUGAGCUGGAAUCCGAUGAGAAACUGGUGAAAACUUUUUCGAAAAUCGUACAGGAAACGCUUCAAAAUGGAAUACAUGCAGAAAAAUCGGCAUUAUUAAAAACACUGGAUGUUCAGACGACGAUUCAAAAUCUGGUUCUAUCGGAUCAUUUACUCGGUCGCGAAAUGGGCCAGGAGAGAAAAAUGAAUUUGAGUGAUUUAUUAACACAGCUGACAGACCAGUUAGACAAAUUGCUAAAUGGGUUAGAAGGUAAGACAAAGUGCAUUCAUGCAGAUUUCGAACAUCAUCAAAGAAUGG
RNAcentral lists this ribosomal RNA (670 nucleotides) under uncultured bacterium. Its description in RNAcentral is "partial 16S ribosomal RNA". The record is from RNAcentral.